RNAcentral lists this ribosomal RNA (537 nucleotides) under uncultured Pseudomonas sp. RNAcentral describes it as "bacterial SSU rRNA". It matches the Rfam family "Bacterial small subunit ribosomal RNA", at positions 86 to 619 of the family's 1533-position model. Lineage: Bacteria; Pseudomonadati; Pseudomonadota; Gammaproteobacteria; Pseudomonadales; Pseudomonadaceae. The record is from RNAcentral.
CUGAAUUCAGCGGCGGACGGGUGAGUAAUGCCUAGGAAUCUGCCUGGUAGUGGGGGACAACGUUUCGAAAGGAACGCUAAUACCGCAUACGUCCUACGGGAGAAAGCAGGGGACCUUCGGGCCUUGCGCUAUCAGAUGAGCCUAGGUCGGAUUAGCUAGUUGGUGAGGUAAUGGCUCACCAAGGCGACGAUCCGUAACUGGUCUGAGAGGAUGAUCAGUCACACUGGAACUGAGACACGGUCCAGACUCCUACGGGAGGCAGCAGUGGGGAAUAUUGGACAAUGGGCGAAAGCCUGAUCCAGCCAUGCCGCGUGUGUGAAGAAGGUCUUCGGAUUGUAAAGCACUUUAAGUUGGGAGGAAGGGCAUUAACCUAAUACGUUAGUGUUUUGACGUUACCGACAGAAUAAGCACCGGCUAACUCUGUGCCAGCAGCCGCGGUAAUACAGAGGGUGCGAGCGUUAAUCGGAUUUACUGGGCGUAAAGCGUGCGUAGGUGGCUAAUUAAGUCAAAUGUGAAAUCCCCGAGCUUAACUUGGGA